Molecule: long non-coding RNA, 451 nt
Filed under: Triticum aestivum (bread wheat)
Lineage: Eukaryota; Viridiplantae; Streptophyta; Magnoliopsida; Poales; Poaceae
Description: long non-coding RNA (TAES_LNC027809)
Source: RNAcentral
GUUGCAACACGCGAACCGAUCAAUUCUAGUAAUAGCUUGGCAAAUAUGGUGUGCAUAUAUGCUAGAAUAACGUAUGCGUUUUAACUGCAUGAUGAUAAAUGUAAAUUUGUAGCUGUAGCCUGUAGCUGUUGGUAGCACUCGUGUCGCAGCAGUAGUCUAGAAAUGCUGCUUGCAGCUGAUGAGUGUUGUAUCUUGAGUACCCUGCUGAUGAGUGUUGUAUCUUGAGUACCCUUGUUUCUUACUAGCAGGCAGAAGGUAUGGCGGCACGCCGCGCCCGUGUUUAAACACGUUGUUGUUUGAGUUAUAUCGAGGUUUUUCUUAACACCAAUGAAUUCUAUUAAUGCUAGAGGAAAACGAUAGCUCCAAUAAUUUCUUUGUUCUCAAAGCCUCCUAUUUAGAGGAAUUAGCUACUUGAACGACCUUUGAUGUUUUGUCUUUGAUCUUGUUUAUU